CAUUCCGCCAAAAGUUUACAAACGGAAUAACCAGAAAAACAAAAUUUAUUAUUUGGUUUUUUAAAAUAUUUUGUUUUCGAGAGCAGGUCUAUCCUCGACGACUUUUGAGUGGCGAAUGACUAUCCCUAAUGUGGGUGCGCAGUAUUGAAUCUGGAAAUUGGCCAGAAAAGAGGCAAGGAACCUGAAGCUUAGGCUGGAAGAAGCAUGGCGGCUAGGAUCUCCAGGAGCCACUUACAUACAAAGGUGUCGGAUACAUCCUGCCUGUAGCAUCUGAAGCACUCCUAUUCAUCAGAGAGACUUCUCGACUGGCUGCUCGGACUUUCUCACCAGAAUUCUAGUCAAGUGUGCGUACAGUGGUCUCCCAGCACUUCUCCUCCUGCGAAUACCUCAUCCAGCAGCAUGUACCAGAGCCAUGGUGCUGUAGGACUCCUCUACUGGAAAGAUGCCCGGCUGGCGGAUGCAGUUCAUAACCUCUUGCACUAUGCUGAUCCGAUAAUGUAAUUUCGUUAAGCAGCAUUGUAGAAUGCCUCGCCUCGGAGGACACGAAUGGCAUACAGAUGUGAACGAUGAUGUCCUCGAUGCGAUUUUCCCUCUACCACUCAGCUUUGGUUAUUUCGGCCAGAGUCCAGAUCAUGAGUACCAAUUCAAUCUUCGGGUAGUUAUGGCAGUCUGACUGGAUGAUAUUAACUUAGGUGCGGACCCUUCUCUCUGCAGCUGGCUGCAGGAAUACGGGGGUCCCGCACCCAUUCUCUCGAGAUUGUUGGAUCUUGCGAUAAUGGGUGCGGGGCUCUCCGUAUUCCAUGCUAUCGUGGCAUACCUAUGGUUUUAUGGCCAGCUUCAGAGAAAUGGCCCGCACCUCCGUUAAUAUCAUCAUCCAGCCGGACUGCCACAACUCACCGAAAACUGAAUUUGUACUCGUCAAAAUGUUUCUGGACCAUUUGGCUGAUAUAACUAAAACUGAAUGGUGGAGGGAGAAUGACAUCGACUACAUCAUCGUUCGCAUCUAUAUACCUUCGUGUCCCUUGUGGAGAGAAAUUAAUUACAACCAAUAUUAAGAGAAUUUUCUGAACUUGAAAGUACAUCACAUUUUUUAAAAGAAAAUAUGUCAAAUACACAAAAAUAAAAAUUAUUUUUAAAAAU
Drosophila subpulchrella is the source of this 1140-nucleotide long non-coding RNA. RefSeq lists it as uncharacterized. The transcript is spliced from 2 exons. NCBI's taxonomy places the organism in Eukaryota, Metazoa, Arthropoda, Insecta, Diptera, Drosophilidae. The record is from RefSeq and is a predicted model, not a curated record.